RNAcentral lists this long non-coding RNA (429 nucleotides) under Vulpes vulpes (red fox). RNAcentral's name for it is "lncRNA (ENSVVUG00000018148.1)". Lineage: Eukaryota; Metazoa; Chordata; Mammalia; Carnivora; Canidae. The record is from RNAcentral.
GGAGAACAGUGGGCAUCUUGUGAGAUCCUCACCUGAGGGAAUGAACUUUGCCAGCGCCUCUGCAAAGGAAAACAUUUAGCAUUCUACUCGUACCGACAAAUGUUUUGAUUAUCUGGCCAAAUGCUACUUCUGAUCACCUCAAAAGGAGACUUUUCUUGAAUCACCACUAACAACAAGAAGGGGAUGGAGCCUAAUACGGUUACAAGGUACUUUCCACAGGUAUUAUCCCUUUAAUAAUCAGGAACUGAAGAAAAGAAGGUUGGCUCCUUCCUGUAAGCAAAUGUCCUGGAAGAAACCCCUUUGAAGCUACCACACAAGCAGUAUUAUUCUGGAGUCUUACCUGAUGAAAAUAGCAAGCAAAAGUACCAAAGGACUGAAUUUCACAUGGAAAGAGAGGAAAGUAGGACAUUCCUGUGGCUUCACACUCAC